RNAcentral lists this ribosomal RNA (222 nucleotides) under Campylobacter coli. RNAcentral's name for it is "partial 16S ribosomal RNA". It matches the Rfam family "Bacterial small subunit ribosomal RNA", at positions 1311 to 1533 of the family's 1533-position model. The record is from RNAcentral. Lineage: Bacteria; Pseudomonadati; Campylobacterota; Epsilonproteobacteria; Campylobacterales; Campylobacteraceae. RNAcentral also lists the same sequence under 1 other name.
CUCGAGAGCAUGAAGCCGGAAUCGCUAGUAAUCGUAGAUCAGCCAUGCUACGGUGAAUACGUUCCCGGGUCUUGUACUCACCGCCCGUCACACCAUGGGAGUUGAUUUCACUCGAAGCCGGAAUACUAAACUAGUUACCGUCCACAGUGGAAUCAGCGACUGGGGUGAAGUCGUAACAAGGUAACCGUAGGAGAACCUGCGGUUGGAUCACCUCCUUUCUAG